GACGAACGCUGGCGGCGUGCUUAAUACAUGCAAGUCGAACGGAAAGGCCCGGCUUUUGUUGGUUGCUCGAUUGGCGAACGCGUGAGUAACACGUGAGUAACCUGUCCUUGUCUUUGGGAUAACUUCAGGAAACUGGGGCUAAUACCGGAUAGGAGCUCCUGCUGCAUGGGGGGGGUUGGAAAGUCCCGGCGGUUGGGGAUGGACUCGCGGCUUAUCAGCUGGUUGGGGGGGUAGUGGCUUACCAAGGCUGUGACGGGUAGCCGGCCUGGGAGGGUGACCGGGCACAUUGGGACUGAGGUACGGACCAGACUCGUACCGGAGGCAGAAGUGGGGAAUAUUGCACAAUGGGCGGAAGCCUGAUGCAGAGACGCCGCGUGCGGGAUGACCGCCUACGGGUGGUAAACCGCUUUGGAAGGUGACGAAGCGUGAGUGACGGUACUGGGUAAGAAAGCACCGGCUAACUACGUG
RNAcentral lists this ribosomal RNA (468 nucleotides) under uncultured bacterium. RNAcentral describes it as "partial 16S ribosomal RNA". It matches the Rfam family "Bacterial small subunit ribosomal RNA", at positions 28 to 507 of the family's 1533-position model. The record is from RNAcentral.